GGAGGGAUGGCCGAGUGGCUUAAGGCGCACGCUUGGAAAGCGUGUGUGCGGGAAACCGUACCGUGGGUUCGAAUCCCACUCUCGCUGCCA
Molecule: transfer RNA, 90 nt
Filed under: Hyphomicrobiales bacterium
Lineage: Bacteria; Pseudomonadati; Pseudomonadota; Alphaproteobacteria; Hyphomicrobiales
Description: Rhizobiales bacterium (bioreactor metagenome) tRNA-Ser
Rfam family: tRNA
About the family: Transfer RNA (tRNA) molecules are approximately 80 nucleotides in length.
Source: RNAcentral